Molecule: unclassified non-coding RNA, 209 nt
Filed under: fungal sp.
Lineage: Eukaryota; Fungi
Description: partial internal transcribed spacer region
Rfam family: Eukaryotic small subunit ribosomal RNA (bases 1-46)
Source: RNAcentral
AAGUCGUAACAAGGUUUCCGUAGGUGAACCUGCGGAAGGAUCAUUACUAAAGAUUCACAUCUUUACACCCAAAACGCGAACUGUUUUACCCCACUGACCUUUAAUUAGGUUGGCUGGGCCCCAUUUACUCAACCUUAUGUUUAUCUUUUGUAAACUACUUUAAAUAUUUUAAUUAAAUAUAACUUUCAGCAACGGAUCUCUAGGCUCUU